Molecule: ribosomal RNA, 390 nt
Filed under: uncultured bacterium
Lineage: Bacteria
Description: bacterial SSU rRNA
Rfam family: Bacterial small subunit ribosomal RNA
Source: RNAcentral
GACGAACGCUGGCGGCGUGCUUAACACAUGCAAGUCGAGCGGUAAGGCCCUUUCGGGGGUACACGAGCGGCGAACGGGUGAGUAACACGUGGGUGACCUGCCCUCAGCUCUGGGAUAAGCCUGGGAAACUGGGUCUAAUACCGGAUAUGACUCCAUGACGCAUGUUGUGGGGUGGAAAGCCUUGUGCGGCUGAGGAUGGGCCCGCGGCCUAUCAGCUUGUUGGUGGGGUGAGGCCUACCAAGGCGACGACGGGUAGCCGGCCUGAGAGGGCGACCGGCCACACUGGGACUGAGACACGGCCCAGACUCCUACGGGAGGCAGCAGUGGGGAAUCUUGCGCAAUGGGCGAAAGCCUGACGCAGCGACGCCGCGUGAGGGAUGACGGCCUCGG